This 490-nucleotide ribosomal RNA is filed under the name Nothes sp. 2 MB-2015. Its description in RNAcentral is "partial 16S ribosomal RNA". Lineage: Eukaryota; Metazoa; Arthropoda; Insecta; Coleoptera; Curculionidae. The record is from RNAcentral.
UCGAACAGACCUACUAAUUUUAGCUUCUACACCAAAAUUUUAUUUUAAUCCAACAUCGAGGUCGCAAUCUUUUCUUUCGAUAAGAACUCUCAAAAAAAAUUACGCUGUUAUCCCUAAGGUAAUUUAAUCUUUUAAUCUUUAAAUAAGGAUCAACUACUCAUAAAUCAAUGCUAAAAUAUAAAAAAGUUCAAUAAAUUUUUAAAUCACCCCAAUCAAAUUAAUAUAAAUACAAAAAAAAAUAAAUUCUAAUAAUAAUUAUAAUUAUACUAAUAAAACUCUAUAGGGUCUUCUCGUCUUUAAUUUAUAUUUAAGCUUUUUUACUUAAAAAUAAAAUUCCAAUAAAAUUAAAUAGAGACAGCUAUUUUCUCAUCUAACCUUUCAUUCCAGCUUUCAAUUAAAAAACUAUUGAUUAUGCUACCUUUGCACGGUCAAAUUACCGCGGCCAUUCAAAUUUCAUUGGGCAGGCUGGACUUUAAAUUAUUCUCAAAAA